Long non-coding RNA from Zea mays, 925 nucleotides. RefSeq lists it as uncharacterized. The record is from RefSeq and is a predicted model, not a curated record. The transcript has 4 exons. Lineage: Eukaryota; Viridiplantae; Streptophyta; Magnoliopsida; Poales; Poaceae.
UGGAAGAAUUUCUCAAGUUGGGUGUGCGCUCUAUCAUAUUAACCUCAGGCACCUUGUUUCCAUUGGAUUCACUAGCCAUGGAACUAAACCUUGAAUUCCCAGUUAGACUAGAAAAUCCGCAUGUCAUUUCUUCAGACCAAGUCUGGGUUGGAGUCGUGCCUGUCGGCCCUUCGGGACAUGCUCUUAAUUCUUCUUAUCGUACGCGUAAUACUAUACAAUAUAAACAAGAGUUGGGCACUGCAAUAGUAAAUUUCGCACACAUUGUGCCAGACGGACUCCUUGUUUUCUUCCCUUCAUAUUCUAUGAUGGACAUGUGUGUUGACUUCUAGAAAAAUAGGGUAUUCAUUGGUUCUGGAAAAGUAGUUCUUAUCAUUUGAGGUGUUUACAAAAUUAGAAAUUUUAUAACUUAAAUCUCUUACAGAACCAUUCAAAUUCAACUUCUGAGAACACAAUUUGGCAGCGGAUCUGUAAGCACAAGCAGCCAGUUAUAGAGAGCCUAGGCAGUCAUCAAACUUUCAGAGUGCAAUUGAGGAUUAUAGAACCAAAUUACACGAUUCUUCUUCUGGGGCAAUAUUUUUUGCAGUUUGUCGUGGCAAAGUUUGUUCCUAUUCUUUGUAACCUUUGCUAUCUAUUAUCACCACUUUUUUAUAACCAGUCUCAAUGAUCUUGAGCUAAAUGCUUCUUUUGCUAGGUCUGUAACAUGCUAAUCAAUUUAUUAACCAUUAUGUGUACCCUUUUUUGCGCUGAAAGAUAAAACAUGCUUAGUGACAUAUGGGUCCUGUCUGGCAUGGCUUUUCUCCCAGAUUCCCAUCAGAAAAAGCGAUGCAGCUGCCAAAUGCUCGUCUUGCUUCUUUCCUAAUUGCUUCUAUGAACGAGCUGAAAAGCGAUAAGCCAUAGUUGAGGUGCCUUUCCCAACUUCUUUGCU